Molecule: ribosomal RNA, 704 nt
Rfam family: 5.8S ribosomal RNA (bases 280-435)
GGUUUCCGUAGGUGAACCUGCGGAAGGAUCAUUGUCGAAACCUGCCAAGCAGAAAGACCCGCGAACGAGUUACCUCCACUCGGGGGGGACGAGGGGCGCCAACGCGACCUGGAUCCCCCCGCGUCGGGUGCGUGCGGCCUCGGCCCGCGCACCCGGCUUCCAAACGAACCCCGGCGCGAAAUGCGUCAAGGAAAAAACAACCGAACGAGCCACGCCGUCGGGGCCCCCGGAAACGGUGCCUGCCUCGGUGGUUGAUUCGUGAUUGAUCUAAGUCAAAACGACUCUCGGCAACGGAUAUCUCGGCUCUCGCAUCGAUGAAGAACGUAGCGAAAUGCGAUACUUGGUGUGAAUUGCAGAAUCCCGUGAACCAUCGAGUCUUUGAACGCAAGUUGCGCCCGAAGCCAUCCGGCCGAGGGCACGUCUGCCUGGGCGUCACACAAAGUUGCCCCCCACCCAGACCACAACGCCGCUCCUGACGGGGCGUGCGCGGAACGGGUGGGGGGCGGACGAUGGCCUCCCGUGAGCGUCAGGCCUCGCGGUUGGCCCAAACACGAGUCCUCGGUCGCGUCAUCGUGGCGACAGGUGGUUGUCGAUGAUUCGGUGCCCCGUCACGCGCGUCGGCCGCCAAUCGAGACUCCGACGGACCCCAACGCGCCCGUCAAGGGCGCUUCCAACGCGACCCCAGGUCAGGCGGGGCUACCCGC